Molecule: ribosomal RNA, 374 nt
Filed under: uncultured bacterium
Lineage: Bacteria
Description: bacterial SSU rRNA
Rfam family: Bacterial small subunit ribosomal RNA
Source: RNAcentral
GACGAACGCUGGCGGCGUGCUUAACACAUGCAAGUCGAGCGGUAAGGCCCCUUCGGGGGUACACGAGCGGCGAACGGGUGAGUAACACGUGGGUGACCUGCCCUCAGCUCUGGGAUAAGCCUGGGAAACUGGGUCUAAUACCGGAUAUGACUCCAUGACGCAUGUCGUGGGGUGGAAAGCCUUGUGCGGCUGGGGAUGGGCCCGCGGCCUACCAGCUUGUUGGUGGGGUGAUGGCCACCAAGGCGACGACGGGUAGCCGGCCUGAGAGGGCGACCGGCCACACUGGGACUGAGACACGGCCCAGACUCCUACGGGAGGCAGCAGUGGGGAAUCUUGCGCAAUGGGCGAAAGCCUGACGCAGUGACGCCGCGUGA